CGCGUAGAUAACCUGUCUUCAUGUCUGGAAUAAUACGCCGAAAGGGGUACUAAUACCGGAUAUUCUUGCUUUAUAUAAGUUUUGCAAGCAAAGGUGGCCUCUGACAUAAGCUACUGCAUAAAGAGGGGUCUGCGUACCAUUAGCUUGUAGGUGGGGUAAUGGCCUACCUAGGCGACGAUGGUUAGCGGGUCUGAGAGGAUGAUCCGCCACACUGGCACUGGAACACGGGCCAGACUCCUACGGGAGGCAGCAGUGAGGAAUAUUGCGCAAUGGGGGCAACCCUGACGCAGCGACGCCGCGUGAGCGAGGAAGGCCUUCGGGUCGUAAAGCUCUGUCAAAGGGAAAGAAAUGUAUAAUGGUUAAUACCUGUUAUAUUUGACGGUACCCUUAAAGGAAGCACCGGCUAACUCCGUGCCAGCAGCCGCGGUAAUACGGAGGGUGCAAGCGUUGUUCGGAAUUACUGGGCGUAAAGGGCGCGUAGGCGGUUUGAUAAGUCAGAU
This 500-nucleotide ribosomal RNA is filed under the name uncultured sulfate-reducing bacterium. RNAcentral describes it as "bacterial SSU rRNA". It matches the Rfam family "Bacterial small subunit ribosomal RNA", at positions 114 to 593 of the family's 1533-position model. The record is from RNAcentral.